CGGGAUGUAGCUCAGCUUGGCUAGAGCGCUCGGUUCGGGACCGAGAGGCCCGCAGGUUCGAAUCCUGUCAUCCCGACCA
This 79-nucleotide transfer RNA is filed under the name Bacillota bacterium. Its description in RNAcentral is "tRNA-Pro". It matches the Rfam family "tRNA". From Rfam's summary of the family: Transfer RNA (tRNA) molecules are approximately 80 nucleotides in length. Their secondary structure includes four short double-helical elements and three loops (D, anti-codon, and T loops). Lineage: Bacteria; Bacillati; Bacillota. The record is from RNAcentral.